This 468-nucleotide ribosomal RNA is filed under the name uncultured bacterium. RNAcentral's name for it is "partial 16S ribosomal RNA". It matches the Rfam family "Bacterial small subunit ribosomal RNA", at positions 28 to 507 of the family's 1533-position model. The record is from RNAcentral.
GACGAACGCUGGCGGCGUGCUUAACACAUGCAAGUCGAACGGAAAAGCCCUGCUUUUGUGGGGUGCUCGAGUGGCGAACGGGUGAGUAACACGUGAGUAACCUGCCCUUGACUUUGGGAUAACUUCAGGAAACUGGGGCUAAUACCGGAUAGGAGCUCCUGCUGCAUGGUGUGGGUUGGAAAGUUUCGGCGGUUGGGGAUGGACUCGCGGCUUAUCAGCUUGUUGGUGGGGUAGUGGCUUACCAAGGCUUUGACGGGUAGCCGGCCUGGGAGGGUGACCGGCCACAUGGGGACUGAGAUACGGCCCAGACUCCUACGGGAGGCAGCAGUGGGGAAUAUUGCACAAUGGGCGGAAGCCUGAUGCAGCAACGCCGCGUGCGGGAUGACGGCCUUCGGGUUGUAAACCGCUUUCGCCUGUGACGAAGCGUGAGUGACGGUAAUGGGUAAAGAAGCACCGGCUAACUACGUG